RNAcentral lists this ribosomal RNA (253 nucleotides) under uncultured prokaryote. RNAcentral's name for it is "partial 16S ribosomal RNA". It matches the Rfam family "Bacterial small subunit ribosomal RNA", at positions 525 to 777 of the family's 1533-position model. The record is from RNAcentral.
ACGAAGGGGGCUAGCGUUGUUCGGAAUCACUGGGCGUAAAGCGCACGUAGGCGGCUUGUUAAGUCAGGGGUGAAAGCCUGGAGCUCAACUCCAGAACUGCCUUUGAUACUGGCAAGCUUGAGUGUGGAAGAGGUUGGUAGAAUUCCGAGUGUAGAGGUGAAAUUCGUAGAUAUUCGGAAGAACACCAGUGGCGAAGGCGGCUCACUGGACCGGUAUUGACGCUGAGGUGCGAAAGCGUGGGGAGCAAACAGGA